This is an unclassified non-coding RNA of Nomascus leucogenys (northern white-cheeked gibbon), 229 nucleotides long. Its record names the gene 7SK. It matches the Rfam family "7SK RNA". From Rfam's summary of the family: 7SK was discovered as an abundant small nuclear RNA in the mid-70s but a possible function has only recently been suggested. Lineage: Eukaryota; Metazoa; Chordata; Mammalia; Primates; Hylobatidae. The record is from Ensembl.
GAAAUUCAGAAUGACAUCCAGCUGCAACACCCACCACCCAGGUAAUUUUUGAUAGGUUUGUCUCACAUGGAUGGCUAGAAGGGUAUUCUUCUUUCCUCAAGAUUCCAAGUGGAGCCCUUCAAAAGCUGAGAACUUGGUUAAAAGAGGACAGCUUUCCAAAUAAAGGGGGAUCUGUCUUCAGUCAGAAAACAAAUUUCAGGUAAGUGGAGAUGAGAGAGAAACCCCUUUU